RNAcentral lists this ribosomal RNA (253 nucleotides) under uncultured bacterium. RNAcentral describes it as "partial 16S ribosomal RNA". It matches the Rfam family "Bacterial small subunit ribosomal RNA", at positions 524 to 776 of the family's 1533-position model. The record is from RNAcentral.
UACGUAGGGUGCGAGCGUUGUCCGGAAUUACUGGGCGUAAAGAGCUCGUAGGUGGUUUGUCGCGUUGUUCGUGAAAACUCACAGCUCAACUGUGGGCGUGCGGGCGAUACGGGCAGACUGGAGUACUGCAGGGGAGACUGGAAUUCCUGGUGUAGCGGUGAAAUGCGCAGAUAUCAGGAGGAACACCGGUGGCGAAGGCAGCUCGCUGGGACGUGACUGACGCUGAGACGCGAAAGCGUGGGGAGCAAACAGG